Spinacia oleracea (spinach) is the source of this 479-nucleotide long non-coding RNA. RefSeq lists it as uncharacterized. The transcript is spliced from 3 exons. The record is from RefSeq and is a predicted model, not a curated record. Lineage: Eukaryota; Viridiplantae; Streptophyta; Magnoliopsida; Caryophyllales; Amaranthaceae.
CAGUUAUCAAAAAAUAAAUUCCAAAAGCUUUUUCCUUCUCUCCUCAUAUCGAUCUUUCUCCUCUUGUCUCUCUUUCCAGAACCUUCAUUUCAAGCUGAAAUACUGGGGCUGGGAGUUCUCGAUUUUUGCAUGCAAUCCGGGAACGAAGAACAUCCAAAGAACCGAUGACAACCAAAAAGAGAGGUGUCGUGGAGAAAGUCACUCUACACCCACGAGUGUUCAAGGACAAUAGUUUGACAAAGGGCGGUGAAGUAAAGGAAGUCCGGCAGGUCUUGAAAGUCCUACAUCGUGAAUUUAAAGGAGGGGUAUGAAUUCCCAUUCAAUAUAGUACUAAACUUGGUACUUCAUUAUUCGUGAAAUGUAUGAAUGUUGUGAAAUUGAGAUAAUUUGUUGAAUGAAUGUGGGAGACAGGGAGUGGUGACAUUAUUUGAUUAAUGUAUUAUCGAAUAUUUAAUCUAUUGAUUAUGUUGCUUGGUACA